Molecule: long non-coding RNA, 234 nt
Organism: Selaginella moellendorffii
Lineage: Eukaryota; Viridiplantae; Streptophyta; Lycopodiopsida; Selaginellales; Selaginellaceae
Exons: 3
Source: RefSeq, a predicted model, not a curated record
CACGAGAAAAAUGGUUUGAUGUUGUGACUCGGGAAGUCACAGGACAUCAUUCUGCGGUGCUCCAGAAGAAGCUCUUGAAGCUCGAGUUCACUACGCUCUUUGAGUACCUCCAAAUUUAGAGAUUGUUAGAGCUGCCAUGAAACCAGUUGGCAGGCAUGCUAUGUUUUACUUUGCAGCGGCUGUCUCCGACUUCUACAUCCCCUGGAACUCCAUGGUAAGAACUUCUCGUCUUCU